CUUAUUUGUAAAUUAUUGGUUACAAAUGUUUAACAAUAGGAAAUAUUCAAGAAUAAAUAAAAUAAAAGUUUAAUCCUAACAACACAAAACAUUCCAGGAAUGUAGGUACUACCGUUCUAUUCCGUGAACAUCUAUCUGAUUAAAUUAUGGGUGGAAAGUUACCACAAGAUAUUCUAUGAACAUAGUACAAUGUCUUCCUGGAGGGGUAAAAUUUUCCAUUACAAGAUUUUAAGAGAGGCCAUUUACUAUUCAAUUUGCGUUCAUUUUCAAAUUUGCCGCGCGAGUAUCUAUGUAGCGUCGCGUGGUCAUUGGCAUUCAUUGGUCAUCACAUUUCAUAUAUUUAUUUCAUUUUCAUGGAUAACCGAUAACCUAAAAAUUUAGUAAAAAUUUUGAUUGGAAAAAAAUGCAUCGAUAACUGUCGAUAAGGGGGUGUGGGAAAUGGAAAUUAGUGGCUUUUUUGCUGUACUGUCUGCUAGUUUUUGCUCUGGACUCUGGCUGGAUCUCUUGUUUAAACAAUUUUAAUCGGCUGAAAGUGGUCUACAAAAAAAAAACCAAGGAGGAAAUGUAUAGCCUUGUGGCUAUGAAAGGCAAAAGAGAGAUAUAAAAAGUGUAUUGGCUAGUUGGAAGAAAGUCCACAUUGUCCAUGCAUAAUAAGUUAUUACUUUAUCAACAAAUAUCAAGAAGAUAGCAGGAAUAAGUCACGAGCAACAACUUCAUAAGUUCAAGAAUAUUGAGGAAAUCCAGCUCCUCGAUACUACUGGGCAAACUAGAAGAUUGAAGAGGACAAAGCCUUUUGAACUAGUUUGAGUGAUAGGUGAUAGUGAAAAACGGAGCAUAGUGCUUGUGUGCUGUGCCUGUGUAUGUUAGAAUAGUGCACGAUCUUGUUAGAUUAGAUAAGAGACGCUAUGGGGUAAGCUCUUCAUUUUAAGAAACAGUAGUAAUUUAGGUUAAAUUAAAAUUGCUCAUUGGUCAGUUAUGACCAGAUUGUUUUUUUAUGUUUGGCAAAAAGGGCUUAAGUCAGAAUUGCACAUUGAUAAUGUUUUGAUGAAAUCUGGACCAGAAAAAAACUGUUGUAGAUGUAAACUGUAUGUACAGUAGAAUCUACUACAGUACUGUAGAAAUCAUCAAAACAUUAUCGAUGUGCAAUUCUGACUUAAGCCCUUUUUCCCAAACAUCAGAGAAUUGUAAUGUACAAUAAUUCUCCUAUCUGCUUUUUCAUGAAUUUUGUACGAGACGAAAAACCAUUUUUAGGAUCAUCUGCUUUCACAUGUAAAUUUUGACAUGUUUUGUAGUAAAUAGAUAGUUGAAUUUACUACAAAACAUGUCAAAAAAUAUAUGAAAACAGGAGGUGACUAUAAAAAAAGUUUUUAGUCUCUCUUACAAAACUCAUGAAAAACAAAUCGGAGAUAUGUCACAUCGGUGACUAUAUCCAGGGAAUGUCUAAAAAAUAUACUUUGAUGUCCCAAGAACCAAAUAUAACCUACAGUCCAUCUAAUUUACUUACCGUUGCACGUCAUUAUCUACGCCAGAGAUCUAAGUUGACAUAGUUGCCAAAGUAUAAAAAGAUCCUGAAUCCAUUUUAAAUCAAAUUUAUCACAUAAUUAUUGUAAACGUGGAUUAUACAACAAAACAAAUUAAUAUUCAAUGUAAAUAAGUAAAAACUUAAGAAAUAGAGAACAAGAAUUAAGUUAUAAUCUUUUAAGAUUUGCAGUGCAAGCGUUUUUGCACUGCAUUGUUAAUAAUUAAAAAACGGCAACUCUUGGCAAAAAGCCGGUAGGUUUCUUUGUAUAAGUAUGUCUACAAUAACAACUAAAAAAGUUGUCAGAUACCUCGAUUAUUCCAAGUCGUUAUAAAAUUAGGUGAAAUUUAUAUUUUUAUAGUAGAGGAUCUUUUUAUAGUAAAGUAAAUAAUAAAAACAGUAAAUAUAAUAAAUAAAACAGAUACUUAUAGUAAAGAAUAUAAACAAAUAUGAAGUGUCAUCACCGCAACUGUCAAAUAAAUGUUACCAAUUUAUUCUAAAAUGUCACCUUCGUUCGAUUACAGUUACAGUGUGAUCCGAACAAAUCUGCUUCAUAAAAACGCUUUAUAAUCCAUUUAUACAAAUUAAAUGAAACAUAUUAUUGUGUAUUUCUUUAGGUUAACAUUAAUAGAAAUCUUCAAAUAUUAUUUCUACGCGUAUAUAAUAAAAUAUGUCUAGUGGCUGUAAUUCCAGUGUACUCGGCAAAGUGAUUCUAAAAAAGAACACACCUACCGCCUAAAUAUUUCGUGUUGGUAUCAUGCGACGUCACAGGCUACGACGCGGAUGACGCGCGACAGUCAGUAAAUUAGACGAAAUAUGUAGAUAUAUACAGGGUGUAACAAAAAUACAGGUCAUAAAUUUAAUCACAUAUUCUGGGACCAAAAAUAGUUUGAUUGGACCUAACUUACCUUAGUACAAAUGUGCACACAAGAAAAGUUACAGCCCUUUGAUGUUAUAUAUUAUAUAUAUAAUAGCACUAAGGGCCUUAGAGGCCCAUGGCUUGAAAAGUUUGUUUUUUUUUCUCUUCAUUUUCACGUUUCUUUAUGUACUGAGAUCUUCUCUGGCUUGAUAUGUGAUUUUUCUUCAUUCCUUCCUGUUAUUCAUUUUUCUUUUCUGACCCUGUAGCACCAUUCUUUCCAAAUCUUUUUCGACCUCUUGCUUCCAUCUAUUUUUCGGCCUUCCUCUUCUCUUUCUUGAAGCUGUAGUAUAGUUUAGUACCCUUUUUGGAUUCCUCGUGUUUGGCAUCCUUUCAAUGUGACCUCGCCAUCUAAGUCUCUGUGCCUUUAUCACUCAUUUGAAGUUACAAGAUGAAGUGAUUUUUUCCAAUAUAUCGAAAACUAUUAGAGAUUUUUUAUUGAAAAUGGACAUGUGGCAUUAUUAUGGCAGCAGUAUCUUACGAAAAAACUAUAGUAAAAUUUGGACACCCCAUAAAAAUUUUAUAGGGGUUUUGUUCCUAUAAACCCCCCCCCCCCCCAAACUUUUGUGCAUGUUUCAAUUUAAUUAUUAUUGUAGUACCAUUUAAACACGUUUUAAAAACUUUUUUGCCUCUUAUUGCUUUUUCGAAAAGUCAAUUUUUAUCGAAAUAUUUUGAAUAUUUGUCAAAUCCACCACAUAUUUGUAUAUGGUUAAGUACGAUUAUGGAGACUUAAUAAUAAUAUGCAGACUUAUUUAUGCUUUACAUUUUUAGGUAUAUUUUGAACCAUAGUAAAAAAAAAGCCAGAUCUCGAUAAAACGUGCCUUAUCGAAAAAAUACAAAGAGGCAAAAAUGUUUUAAAAACAUUCUGUUUAACUAAUGGUACCUCAGUAAUAGUUUAAUUGGAACGUACACAAAGACAUGUUAAAAAAGAAGUCGCAACUCGAUAAAAACUGCCUUAUCUGAAAAAUACUAAGAAACAAAAAUAUUGAAUUUAACUAAUGGUACCACAAUAAUAAAAUUGAAUUGGAACGUACACAAAAGUUUGGGAGGAUCUAAGGGAUCAAAACCCCCAUAAAAUUUUUAUGGGGUGCACAAAUUUCACCAUAAUUUUUCUUUAAGAUAUUCCUGCCAUAAUAAUGUCACAUGUCCAUUUUCAAUAAAAAAUCGCUAAUAGUUUUCGAUAUAAUCGAAAAAAUCUAUUUUCAUUUUGUAAUUUCAAAGGGCUGUAACUUUUUUUAUGUGCAUAUUUGUACUAAGGUAAGUUAGGUUCAUUCGAACUAUUUUUGGUCCCAGAAUAUGUGAUUUAAUUUAUGACCUGUAUUUUUGUUACACCCUGUAUAUACAGCCCAUUACGCACCACCUUAAAAAUUGGGCAUUUUUGAUGUCUCGAAUUUCCUAAACAUGUUGUUGCAUCUAAGUGAUUUUUUUUAUAAUAUUCUAGCCUAGGCCCUAGGCUAUAGGUUAAGUACCUCCUUAUGCUUGUCAUGCACGGGGAGCUAUACUGUAAUAUAUAUUAUAUCACAUCGCUCUCUAUAGUAAUGAGUGAGCCUGCACAUACGGAACCAUUUGUUUCCUGUCUGCAGGCUCACUCAUUACUAUAGAGAGCGAUAUGAUAUAAUGUACAUAUAUUACAGCAUAGCUCCCUGUGCAUGACAAGCUUAAGGAGGUAACCUAUAGCCUAGGCUAUAAUAUUAUUAAAAAAAUCACUUAGAUGAAACAACAGGUUUAGGAAAUACGAGACAUCAAAAAUACCUCAUAUUUAAGGUGGUGCGUUAAUUUCUUGGAGAAGUGUAUUGUAAUUUAAUGUAAAUAAUGUAAUAUCCAAUAAUUGUAAUUUAAUAUAAGAUGUAAUAUAAGUUCCUUAAAAAAUAUAUUUUUUAUUUCCCACGACAUUAGAUGGAUGUUCGGCAGCAAGACAUUGGACCAAACUGGGACGUCCUAUGAAGGCCCAAUUGACGUCCACCGAAUGUCCCUUCGGAUGUUAAGUGGACCUCCAUUGAACGUUUGGCAACGUGG
Long non-coding RNA from Diabrotica virgifera virgifera (western corn rootworm), 4451 nucleotides. RefSeq lists it as uncharacterized. NCBI's taxonomy places the organism in Eukaryota, Metazoa, Arthropoda, Insecta, Coleoptera, Chrysomelidae. The record is from RefSeq and is a predicted model, not a curated record. The transcript is spliced from 2 exons.